GAUGAACGCUGGCGGCGUGCCUAAUACAUGCAAGUCGAGCGAACAGACGCGGAGCUUGCUCCUCUGACGUUAGCGGCGCACGGGUGAGUAACACGUGGAUAACCUACCUAUAAGACUGGGAUAACUUCGGGAAACCGGAGCUAAUACCGGAUAAUAUAUUGAACCGCAUGGUUCAAUAGUGAAUGACGGUUUUGCUGUCACUUAUAGAUGGAUCCGCGCCGCAUUAGCUAGUUGGUAAGGUAACGGCUUACCAAGGCAACGAGGCGUAGCCGAGCUGAGAGUGGGAGCGGCCACACUGGAGGUGAGACGCGGUCAAGAGGGCUGAGGGAGGCAGCAGUAGGGGACAUCAGGCAGUGGGCGCAAUCCUGGCGCAGCAACGCCGCGCGAGAGACAGAGGUCCUGGGCUCGAGAUGCGCAGUUGCUAGGGAGAAACAGGUGUGGAGGGGAAUAGGCUGGAGGCGACGGUCGUUGAGCAGAAAGCUACGGCCAACUACGUG
RNAcentral lists this ribosomal RNA (497 nucleotides) under uncultured bacterium. RNAcentral's name for it is "partial 16S ribosomal RNA". It matches the Rfam family "Bacterial small subunit ribosomal RNA", at positions 28 to 507 of the family's 1533-position model. The record is from RNAcentral.